This 628-nucleotide long non-coding RNA is filed under the name Mus musculus (house mouse). Its description in RNAcentral is "lincRNA-EC237". The record is from RNAcentral. Lineage: Eukaryota; Metazoa; Chordata; Mammalia; Rodentia; Muridae.
AGGGGUUCACUUCCGAAAAACCACUGAUAACAUAUUUAUUUGGGCACAAGGAUGUCUGGAGGAAGUAAAAAGCACAGAGUACUUAGAGUACUUGUGUCUCCCUUUCCUUUAGAACCCUGUCAAGGGAAGGGGCUGAUUCUUGCCACCUAGCCCCCCAAAAAACAAUACCAGGCCACACUCGAUACAAAGUGCUUGAUUAACUUCGCUGUUACCAGCAACCCCAGAAAACCACUAGUAUCUUAUAAAAUGAUAAGAGCAAAGCUAAGCAGUUAAAAACUCAGGUUGACUAAUAUAUUUUGAAUGUUCAAAUGCAUGCACUCAUAGCCAGCAGCACAAGGUCCCGAGGCCCCUGACACCUGGUGAUGUUAAAUCCCAUCAAGUUGGCAAUUAAGAUAAACCAUUACGAGACUUCAUGAAAUUAAGCCUCUGAGAGACAGGAGAAACAAGUGAAAAGCUCCAGCUCCUGCUCCGGCUCAUUCUUCUCUCUGUCUCCUACUUAUGGUUCCAGAUGGGGCUUCAGCUACUUCUUCAGCAUCAUGCCUGCCUGCCUUCCUGCCAUCGUGUUCCCCACCAUGAUGAAAACAGAUUUGUCUUUGAAACUUGUCCCCAAUUAAAUGCUUUACAAUAU